Molecule: RNA transcript, 2429 nt
Organism: Aedes aegypti (yellow fever mosquito)
Lineage: Eukaryota; Metazoa; Arthropoda; Insecta; Diptera; Culicidae
Gene name: chorion peroxidase
Exons: 6
Source: RefSeq, a predicted model, not a curated record
UGCUUCUCAGCUUAGUGUUCAAUGAGCACUUGCACAGUUAUUAACUGAGACUGAGACCUGCCUGUACAGCAGUGUUGUGGGACAUCUGACUGUAAUCGUGCUCGAGGAUAUGAGCAACGUUCAAUCAUAUAAUAAUAAAGUCUGUCGUUGCAGUCUAAAUGAUUAGUCCAUUCAGUUAUUUGUUCGGUGAAUAAUGUUCGCUUCGCAAUUAGACGAUGAAUCAAAGUAAAAUCAAUAUGUUCACAGUAAAUGUGAUUUGUAUUCUAGUGUCUUGUGUAUUGGCUGCGUUCGACGUUUUGCAGAUACCGGAUAAUCCUGUGUAUUAUAAUGAUUAUAGUCUACAAUGUCAUACACCUGUGAAGUGUGCCAGUGACCGAAGAUGUCCAGAAGUCUUCGAUUGGAAAGACUUGGAGCGCUGGGCUCAGAAGGAAGCGCAUGCUCAAUUUGAUCUUUUAUCGAGUUUUGUGAAUAACUCAAGCUACAUGAUUGGCGAGAACGAAUUCGAUUUCAACAUGUUUUUUACUAGAGAAUUAACGAGUGAACAGGAAUUUGGUGUGAAGAAUACGAUGACAAUAGAUAUUCUACUAGAAUAUUUGGCUAGCACUUAUGGAAAAUGUACCGUAAGAAAUCUGCUGGAAGGUCGGUGUUCAAAAGUUAGUCAGUCUUUGUCUUUGGACGAGUGUCAGCGUACGUCACUAUAUCUAUGUGAUCCAACCUAUCCAUAUCGCUCUUACGAUGGAAGCUGCAACAACUUGAAACAUGCAUCAUGGGGUCAGGCUGGCAAUCCUUUUAAGAUCGAAUUUGCAACAUGCUACGAUGACUUUGUUUCGAAGCGACGUUUGAGCUCGACGGGACGUGAUCUACCAAACAAUAGAGCGGUCAUAAGCGACAUGCAACGCGUGUUCAAUUAUUUUGCCCCUGAUUCGGGAAAUUUGUUCAGUUUGUUUGGUUUGCUGUUCUGUGAAACUAUCAACACUGACAUGAUCGGGCGAGCGAUGAAACGUGUUCGAAAUGCUACGACUGGCUUCCGUGGAUGUCGUGCAGAUGGUAGCGGUGUAUCCAACUGUAGGACUCCUUUAACCUGCCCGAUGAGCGUGCCAUCAGAUGAUCCAAACUAUGGUCCACUGAAUGUUGAAUGUUUAAAUUUUAGUCCCAUCGAAAAUGCCAAUGAUCAUUGCAGCUUUAGAUAUCCGCUCAAGAGGAAUACCGGAAGCAGUUACAUUGAUCUAUCAUCAGUAUAUAAAGAUGGCAAUUACAACAGUGAAGGAAAAAUUAUCUCAUCAUUUUGCCAUGCUUCUUCAACAUUUGAUAUCAAUAAAGUGCUCUCAAUACAGUUCUUGGCUGUGACAGGAUUAUUCACACAGCUUCAUAACUAUUGUGUUGAUAGAGUCAAACUCUGUGGCAAUCUUCAAAAGCAAGAAGAUACUAUUGAAAAAUGUCGAUCGUUAGCUAUCGGUGUGUAUCAACGUAUCAUUUACGAGGAAGUUCUGCCAGUUAUUCUUGGAAAUUUCUAUGAUGAAUGCAAUUUUGAUUGCGAAUACGAUGAAAAUCUCGAAUCUACUGUAUCUUCGUCAUUUGUCGGCGGUCCAGGACGCUUCCCCCAUAUUUGGGUACCGGAAAAUGUUACAAUAAUACAAGAUAAAGAACGCAUGCAGAAACCAUUCUUUGAAUUUUUUCUCAAUUACGACUCAUAUGACUGCUCUGGUGUAUUGAAAGGAAUGCUUGAAGAUCCUAUUCAUACCGGAACUCUUUCGGAUUCGCUAAUCAACACCUUCUUUUCGAAAGACGGAAAACUGGGUCAUUGUUUGCUGUGCCUCGAUUUAGAAAGAGGGCGAGAUUCUGGAUUGUGUCCUUUGAUUUUGUACAAACAUUACUUCGAUAAGAUUUCCGGUCGCCCAACAAAAUGCUACAAUUCGUUUGAUGACUUGGCAGAUAUUUUCGAUGAAAAGUGUUAUGUUUCAGGUGAUAGAGGUUUUCAAGAAGCACUAUGAAAGCCCAUUUGAUAUCGACGUGCUUUUUCUGUUAUUCGAAAAGGACCAAGAAGACCCAACGAUCUUACUGCCACAAACAGUAGCAACGGCAACGUGUUUGCAGUUUAAGCUAUUGAAAUGCAGUGAUCGUUUCUUCUACAGCUGGAAUGAAUUCUUAACUCCGGCUUUGAAAGAACUAAUCAACUCGAUUGAUAUGUCAACGCUUUUGGCAAUGUUUGGUGGAAUGGAAGAGGUUCCUGUUGACCCUUGGCAUUUUCAAUCUGAUAAGGUGUCAGCACAAAUGCUAAGAGAUAAGAAUAAUCAAAAGAUCGAUCUUUUCUGUAGCCUCUAAGUAGAGUUUUGGAGAAAUACGCUCAUUAAAAUUAAAAACAAUGCAAUCUAAAACAAAUUUCAAAGAUUAUUGUAAAUAAGACAAAAUAAUCGUUUCGAGUAAUCCUA